ACUUGUGCUCUUGGAUGCAAAAAGUGGCCGUUUAAACAAACAAAAGCCUUUUCAGCCAGAGGGGGUUCCAAGAUUUGGAAAAGUCCAGAUUCUCCUAGAAGAAAUUGUAGCUGUGCCCAUUCUCACCAGCAAUGGUAGGGGGUUGUUGAGUUUCUUCACAAGAUUACUGACUCAUGCAUUUUGCUAAUCAGUAGCAACAGGAGCCAAACUUGGAUUCACCCUGAUAAAGCAGACAUUUGGGACUUCAUGUGAUCUAAUUG
This is a long non-coding RNA of Homo sapiens (human), 260 nucleotides long. RefSeq lists it as uncharacterized. The record is from RefSeq and is a predicted model, not a curated record. Lineage: Eukaryota; Metazoa; Chordata; Mammalia; Primates; Hominidae. The transcript has 3 exons.